Bicyclus anynana (squinting bush brown) is the source of this 1773-nucleotide long non-coding RNA. RefSeq lists it as uncharacterized. The record is from RefSeq and is a predicted model, not a curated record. Lineage: Eukaryota; Metazoa; Arthropoda; Insecta; Lepidoptera; Nymphalidae. The transcript has 2 exons.
GCUAGUGGAAUAUGAGUGACGUGUUCCGUGUCAUCGCUUAAAGAUUAAGCAGAAAUGGGAUUUCAUAUAUCUAGGUUUUUAAGUUGGUUAUUUUUUUCUUCAUUCGGACACAUGUCUAUUUUUAAAUUUCGAACAAGGAACGGAUUUUCAGCGCAUUUUUUUUCAUCUACAUGGUUCAUCAAUUUCUCCGAGUUUAAUGGAUCGAGUUGCAAAAGUUUUUUUAAUGUCGGUGUCCUUUUCAUCACAGAAUAUAUUAAUAUUUUCUAUGGAUUCUUGCGUGUGUUUGUUAGUAUUGUGGUCUAUUAGAUGAGAAUUUUUUCAGAUUUUUUCGGAUUCUUGUGAUUUUUAAGAUCGUGGUUUAAGAAAAUAGAAGAUUUGAGUUAUUCUUUUUUGAUCGAUAGAUAAAUCUUUGGAGAUUUUCUCUUACAGUGUGCUACUUGUCAACCAAUUUCUGAUGACUAUUGUUAAUUAAUUUUUGAUGACUAUCCUUAACUAGUUUUUGUUGACUAUUUUAAAUAGCUAGACACUAGAUAUUAUAGUAAAUAUUUCUACAAUUUGAGUGACUUGUUUGCUAAUUGAUUAGAUUUAAAAUAUAGACGUGUAGAUUCCUUAGGUAUACUGUCUACAAAUAAUUGAACAUUGCUAUAAUAGGUUGAUUUUUUUUCUGAAAGUUUUGAAUAAAAUAUAAAAUCUCAGUUUUACCUAGACGAGUACUAGUUGUUGCAAUUAACAGCAACCAUCUAACAUGAAUCUUGUUCCCCACACCCCAAUUUUUAAUCAGGCUCUAGUUUACUUAUUUAAUCAUCAUCACCAUCAUUAUCAGCCGAUGGACGUCCACUGCUGGACAUAGGCCUCUUGCAUGGACUUCCAAACAAAACUUAUUUAAUAAAUUACCAAAAUUGUCCAAUCAACUACAAAAGACAAGAUGUGCAAAAAUUGUUCAAGAAGCAUCUUUAACUUGUACGAGUAGUUCAACCUUUAACUAUGUUAGACUAUAUGGAGCGAGUCCCUAUAAUUAGCACUGUUUGUUGUCAUUGUUAUCACCGGCCCAUGUCCACGACAAAUCCUCUGUCAACGACAGAUCUAUAAUUACAUUCAUAUUUAUAAAUGUAGAUAUUUGGCGUGCGAUAGGGGCGUGGCGCGUAGGCGCUCCGGCGAGUGGAGACAUUUUCGUGUCACUAGCCAGUUUUCUGGAGCCGUUUGUCCAGUGAAGGCGUCCGUCAUGCCGCACCACGAGACCACCAGCCUCAUCGCCACCUACCUCAUCCUGGUGCUGCUCCUGGCCAGUCUGUGGUUGCUCUACUCGGGGAUGUUCUGAGACAUGGUCAGAGCAAGACAAAUAUAGAGACCAAUACAAAAUGGCGGAUAGACGAACGCUGUAAAAAAAUACAUUUAAUUUUAAGAAACCGUAAUUUUAGUAUUAAGUUAACUCUAUUAUAAGCAAUGAUGUAUACACCCAAGCAUUUAUACAAAGCGAACAUGAAUCACGGACCAUCAAGGGGAAGGAGCUCAAUGUUACUCGGAUACUUCGAAAUCGGGAUUUUAUUUGUAAGCAAGCGAAACACCACAGGCACAGUGCUGGGCAUUCCAAGUUAAUUAAAAACUAAAAAUGUAUUACAUAAAACAUGAAAGACAACUAUUUAAAUCGUCAACAUAACAUCCAGUGAAAUUAUGUUAUUGUAACAUGUUUUGUCGUUUGGUGCAGUUCGACUAUUUUAGAAUGUUAUUACUUAUUUGUUGUUAAGAACUAAGUUUUUGUAAUAAAGUUUUUUU